UGUUUCGGCUAGGGGGCCAUCCCGGCUUACCAACCCGAUGCAAACUGCGAAUACCGGAGAAUGUUAUCACGGGAGACACACGGCGGGUGCUAACGUCCGUCGUGAAGAGGGAAACAACCCAGACCGCCAGCUAAGGUCCCAAAGUCAUGGUUAAGUGGGAAACGAUGUGGGAAGGCCCAGACAGCCAGGAUGUUGGCUUAGAAGCAGCCAUCAUUUAAAGAAAGCGUAAUAGCUCACUGGUCGAGUCGGCCUGCGCGGAAGAUGUAACGGGGCUAAACCAUGCACCGAAGCUGCGGCAGCGAACGUAUCACCCAAGACAACUUUACGGAGUUGACGAUUGACGGAGCGAAGCGACGUCAAAGCGUUCAUUAAAGUCGAGUUGGCUUAGGGAUACGUUCGUUGGGUAGGGGAGCGUUCUGUAAGCCUGUGAAGGUGGCCUGUGAGGGUUGCUGGAGGUAUCAGAAGUGCGAAUGCUGACAUAAGUAACGAUAAAGCGGGUGAAAAGCCCGCUCGCCGGAAGACCAAGGGUUCCUGUCCAACGUUAAUCGGGGCAGGGUGAGUCGACCCCUAAGGCGAGGCCGAAAGGCGUAGUCGAUGGGAAACGGGUUAAUAUUCCCGUACUUGGUGUUACUGCGAAGGGGGGACGGAGAAGGCUAUGUUGGCCGGGCGACGGUUGUCCCGGUUUAAGCGUGUAGGUGUGUGUUCCAGGUAAAUCCGGUU
RNAcentral lists this ribosomal RNA (720 nucleotides) under Salmonella enterica subsp. enterica. RNAcentral's name for it is "partial 23S ribosomal RNA". It matches the Rfam family "Bacterial large subunit ribosomal RNA", at positions 911 to 1547 of the family's 2925-position model. The record is from RNAcentral. Lineage: Bacteria; Pseudomonadati; Pseudomonadota; Gammaproteobacteria; Enterobacterales; Enterobacteriaceae. RNAcentral also lists the same sequence under 1 other name.